This 459-nucleotide long non-coding RNA is filed under the name Hordeum vulgare. RNAcentral describes it as "long non-coding RNA (HVUL_LNC010357)". Lineage: Eukaryota; Viridiplantae; Streptophyta; Magnoliopsida; Poales; Poaceae. The record is from RNAcentral.
UAAGAUCUCUCUAGCAUAUCUCCGCGUCGACGAUGUUCGAUCCUGCAUCGAUGGAGGGGACGUGAGAGUUUGUGUUUCUAGAUCUAUUGGUUGACUUUGGAUCUUGGUGGAUUGGGUUCUUAUUGAGGAGAACAAUUGAAUGGCUUUUGGCAUGGUGACUUUGACAUCUUGUUCCAUGUUGUACUAUAGCACGGUCCGGUUUGUCCAACUCUCUAGACCAGUGGUUAUAGAUUACAAGCUUUUAGUGCAUGGGGUAAUGCUCGAUUGAUGUUUCUUUAGCAAUUUUUAGAUCUCAUUUCAAACGAUGAGUGACUAUUGUGGUUUUAAAAUCCUAGUACAUCGAAGACGUUUGCAGGUAUUCCUCUCCCUUACAGUUGGUUUAGUUUUCAAUCUUCGUUGAAAAUAACAUACAAUUAAAGGAAGAAGAAAUGUAGUAUAACUUUUAAUGCAAUUUUAUCG